This 808-nucleotide long non-coding RNA is filed under the name Hordeum vulgare. Its description in RNAcentral is "long non-coding RNA (HVUL_LNC013693)". The record is from RNAcentral. Lineage: Eukaryota; Viridiplantae; Streptophyta; Magnoliopsida; Poales; Poaceae.
UAAUGGAACAAUCUUAAGGUUUCCAAGCACAAGAGAAGAUUUGUAACACGCAUAUCAUAUUUAUUCAAAAUUCAAACUGAAUUUGUUGGUGUAUCCGUUGGCCCUUCUUAUCCAAAACAAAACAGUUUCAAAUCUUCUAUGCUUCCUUGCACAUGAAACUCCCCUUUGAUACACACAUAUCUACAGAACAUCCAUAACAAGGAAGACACAUGUUAGAGUAUAUUUAGAACAAGCAUGGCACAAACUAUGUGGAAAACAGAGGAAAUACAUAUCUACUGUUUGGUUUCAGUCAAGGAAAUACAUAUCUACAGUUUAGCAUCCAACUUUAGCACUCAAGUUCAGGUUUGCACUUACAAAAACAAAGACAAAUCAGGUUUAGCAUCUAACUUUUGCACUCAAGUUUACUGAAGUUAGUAUACUCAAAUUAUUAUACUGAAGUUACUAACUUCAACAGAUACUUCUACUAACAGAUAUGAUGAAGUAAUCCGUAACAUAGCAGAAUCCUAGCAUAUAUGAAUCAAUUUGCUCAAGAUUUAGAAAUAUUGUCUGUGUUGAUUUGGAAAUAUCUGAAUCCUACUAAUAUGCAGCAGCACCAGCACCAGCAAAACGAGGCAGCAAAUCACAUACCAGCACCAGCACCAGCAAAACGAGGCAACGAAUCACAAUAGCAGACCAAAUUCAGUUUACUGAACCAGAUUCAGUUGAGCAACGAACAGGAAGAAACAGAGGAAAUCACAUACCUGCAGGACGACGCCGACGGCAGGCUGAGGACGAGGGUGAGGACGAGGACGGCAGGCUGAGGAUCGGG